GGGACACAGAAGGUCAGAUAAAAACCGAGAAGCGCACUGAGAAGCUGCAAUAUUGGAGCAGAGUGAAAAACGGAUAAAUUUACCGAGAUAAGCUCAACAAUUGGCGACGAGGAAUUAAAAAAAAAAACCUACAAGAAUGCGGAUGUUUGCGGAUAGAAAAAAAUAGAAAAUGGUGGAUUUUUUGACGUAGGACUACGUCUUUCAUUUCUAUACCGGAGUGUAAAAUCAAAGUUUCGAAAACGAAAGCGUUACGCCGGAGACCGAGAUUUUGAGCGUUAAUAGCUCCUAAACAACUGAACGAAAUGGCUAUUGAAAUCACCAAUCGGUAUAUAAGCGAGCGGCGCUCGGAAAUCCACUCAGUUCUAAUUGAACAGCGAUUGGAGCAUGUUGUCGCUGUUGCGGUGAAGCUCUUUAUUUAUCAUGAAAGCGCGGAUGAAAGGUGUCACCAAGAGCCUGUUUGUGCACCCUAGGCCAGAAGGGAAUCUAUCAGGAGGAGAGUGAUGCCACAAACGGUUCCCUGGGAAGACAUCGCUACACACACAUACACGCGCGGCUAUUAACAGGUGGUUAUCGAGUUGGCAUUAACCACUGGUGGGCUUCCAGUAUCGAGAAAAAUGUGGAAAUAUCUAAUCGUUACUGAAAAUAAUC
Molecule: long non-coding RNA, 648 nt
Organism: Toxorhynchites rutilus septentrionalis
Lineage: Eukaryota; Metazoa; Arthropoda; Insecta; Diptera; Culicidae
Exons: 3
Source: RefSeq, a predicted model, not a curated record